AUGGAGAGUGUCAGAAAGAGAGAGUGUAAAAGAGAGGGAGGGGUACAGAAAUAGCAUAGAAGGAACAUCAAAGAGGCAAGACAAAAGGGACUUUCUUUAACAUUUUUAGCUUAAGGCUUUGCACUGGAUGCUGCUGUAUGUGAUGCUUUACGAGAGAUAAUAAGAGAUAGAUGGGUAGAGAAGCACAGAGCGAGAUUUGGACAGAGAGGAUGGAAGGGAGGUGGGGGAGAAUGAUUUAAAGGGAAAGAAACGGAGGGAGAUUUAGAUAGAGCCCAGUGAGAGCGAGGGAAGAGAGCCAGCACAGAGCAGCAGAGGAGGUGGAUGGGAGAAGAGGAGAGGCAUUGACUGGAAACGUACACAUGGAAGAGAAGAAAACGCUUAUUUCAUGUGCUCGCUGUGCACGACUGAGAAGUGCGGCUGUCUGUCUGGAUUGUUAGUCAUUUGCUUCCCCCCGGCUAGAGGACAUACGAAGAACACAGGCAGGCUGGGGAAUACGGGGCUGUGUCCAGAGGAUGAACAGGACGAUGUGGGCUCUUGGGCUGUGAUCGCUGUCCUCAGACCCCGUAGCCAAUUGCACUGGAUCUGUUGCAGGCCGUUAGCCUCGCAGUUAGGCAGCAGCGGUCAGAGUGAUUGAUACAGAAUGAGCUCCAAGCACUACUCCGACUGGAUUCCCUACAGCACUAUAGACUGAUGAGCGGGCACCUGACGACCCCGCAGCAGUAGAAUGGUGAG
Long non-coding RNA from Etheostoma spectabile (orangethroat darter), 732 nucleotides. RefSeq lists it as uncharacterized. Lineage: Eukaryota; Metazoa; Chordata; Actinopteri; Perciformes; Percidae. The record is from RefSeq and is a predicted model, not a curated record. The transcript is spliced from 3 exons.